This 232-nucleotide long non-coding RNA is filed under the name Citrus sinensis (sweet orange). Its description in RNAcentral is "long non-coding RNA (CSIN_LNC005633)". Lineage: Eukaryota; Viridiplantae; Streptophyta; Magnoliopsida; Sapindales; Rutaceae. The record is from RNAcentral.
AGAAGUUCAACCACUACCAAUGUGCAUGUGGCUAGUGAUGCGAAGAAAAUCGACCAGCUCACAUGCCUCUUUCCUUUGUCUAGCAUUUGAAACUUGUGCUAUUUUGAAUAUCGGUUGCUGCAUUAUCAUGUCCGCGUAUAUUAUCCUUUAACCUUUUGUUCUUGAUCCAGGCUAAGACAAUUAAAUGUACAUUUUUUAUUAAUAAAAUUUUGUUUCAACUUAUCCAGGUCCC